GGACGAUUAGCUCAGUUGGCUAGAGCGCCUCGUUUACACCGAGGAGGCCGGGGGUUCAAGUCCUCCAUCGUCCA
RNAcentral lists this transfer RNA (74 nucleotides) under Patescibacteria group bacterium. RNAcentral describes it as "tRNA-Val". It matches the Rfam family "tRNA". From Rfam's summary of the family: Transfer RNA (tRNA) molecules are approximately 80 nucleotides in length. Their secondary structure includes four short double-helical elements and three loops (D, anti-codon, and T loops). Further hydrogen bonds mediate the characteristic L-shaped molecular structure. tRNAs have two regions of fundamental functional importance: the anti-codon, which is responsible for specific mRNA codon recognition, and the 3' end, to which the tRNAs corresponding amino acid is attached (by aminoacyl-tRNA synthetases). tRNAs cope with the degeneracy of the genetic code in two manners: having more than one tRNA (with a specific anti-codon) for a particular amino acid; and 'wobble' base-pairing, i.e. permitting non-standard base-pairing at the 3rd anti-codon position. The record is from RNAcentral.